This 21-nucleotide non-coding RNA is filed under the name Caenorhabditis elegans. Lineage: Eukaryota; Metazoa; Nematoda; Chromadorea; Rhabditida; Rhabditidae. The record is from RNAcentral.
UUUUGUAUGUCCUCAUUGUUC